RNAcentral lists this unclassified non-coding RNA (408 nucleotides) under soil metagenome. Its description in RNAcentral is "partial contains 5.8S ribosomal RNA, internal transcribed spacer 2, and large subunit ribosomal RNA". The stretch from base 1 to 121 matches the Rfam family "5.8S ribosomal RNA", at positions 35 to 154 of the family's 154-position model. The record is from RNAcentral.
GAUGAAGAACGCAGCGAAAUGCGAUAAGUAGUGUGAAUUGCAGAAGUACCGUGAAUCAUCGAAUCUUUGAACGCAAAUUGCACUCUCUGGUAUUCCGGGGAGUAUGCCUGUUUGAGGGUCGCUUAACAAACCAUCGAUUUCGUUGCUUUUUUUUUUAAAGUGAUGUUUAUCGGAUUUGAGCCGUCUUUUUUUUUAUAUUUAAGUGGCUUAAAAUUGAUUUUUUUGGUACGAUCGAAGCGUAUUUUUAUGAUCAAUUUUUGGUUAAAGAAACGCACACGUACCGUUAUUUAUAUGAUGUAAUACGUUUGACUAUUGGAUUUAGUUCAUUCGUAUACGAUAUCUUUCAAUAUUUGACCUCAAAUCAGGUAAGAACACCUGCUGAACUUAAGCAUAUCAAUAAGCGGAGGA